ACGCAAACAGAAGCAGCAAGCGAAAGGCUUGAAGAUUGGUUACCAGGAUCGCAAGUUCAUUUGUGAACAUUCUAUGCUGUGUAUGUGAAGAGAUAUUUUCCACUGUGAGGUGAGAGAAGGGAAAUGGUGCAAUAUAUCUAAAGGUUAGGUAGGGCUUGACCUGAAUGAAGACUGGACAACCAUUGCAAGAGCUUCCACAACUAACUUACCGUCCCACGUAUUUUUAGUAUAAUCUGGAUGGGCGAGGGUGAGCGAGAACGAGGUCUAAGAUAUUGAAACCGGAUUCAUUAAACCUUCGAAGUUAUAUAUAUACAAUAGGUUUACACCUCCCAUCUUGUAUGUCCGCCUGUCCCAUCCUUUCCAUCAUGGGAAUAUCCAUCCAACAGUAACACGCCCUUACCAGGAUGUACCACUACGAAAUACGUUCGCUGGCCUCUGCAUCUCCAUAUUGCUUCGCUGCGCUUGGCCCGUAUCCGAAUUCGGCUCUCGCGGUGUAUACGCUGGCGGCGGUUGAUCUACUUCGACAG
RNAcentral lists this small RNA (527 nucleotides) under Histoplasma ohiense. RNAcentral describes it as "hypothetical lncRNA". Lineage: Eukaryota; Fungi; Ascomycota; Eurotiomycetes; Onygenales; Ajellomycetaceae. The record is from RNAcentral.